This 303-nucleotide ribosomal RNA is filed under the name uncultured bacterium. RNAcentral describes it as "partial 16S ribosomal RNA". It matches the Rfam family "Bacterial small subunit ribosomal RNA", at positions 507 to 807 of the family's 1533-position model. The record is from RNAcentral.
AGCAGCAGCCGCGGGAAUACGAAGGGUGCAAGCGUUAAUCGGAAUUACUGGGCGUAAAGGGUGCGUAGGCGGUUGUUUAAGUCCGUUGUGAAAGCCCUGGGCUCAACCUGGGAAUUGCAGUGGAUACUGGGUCACUAGAGUGUGGUAGAGGAUAGUGGAAUUUCCGGUGUAGCAGUGAAAUGCGUAGAGAUCGGAAGGAACAUCUGUGGCGAAGGCGACUAUCUGGGCCAACACUGACACUGAGGCACGAAAGCGUGGGGAGCAAACAGGAUUAGAUACCCCCGUAGUCCCUGUCUCUUAUAC